This 653-nucleotide ribosomal RNA is filed under the name Micrococcus luteus. RNAcentral's name for it is "bacterial LSU rRNA". It matches the Rfam family "Bacterial large subunit ribosomal RNA", at positions 2082 to 2738 of the family's 2925-position model. The record is from RNAcentral. Lineage: Bacteria; Bacillati; Actinomycetota; Actinomycetes; Micrococcales; Micrococcaceae.
GGAAAGACCCCCGUGACCUUUACUAUAGUUUGGUAUUGGUGUUCGGUGUGGCUUGUGUAGGAUAGGUGGGAGACUGUGAAGCGGGCACGCCAGUGUUCGUGGAGUCAUCGUUGAAAUACCACUCUGGUCACUCUGGAUAUCUAACUUCGGCCCGUGAUCCGGGUCAGGGACAGUGCCUGAUGGGGAGUUUAACUGGGGGCGGUUGCCUCCCAAAAAUGUAACGGAGGCGCCCAAAGGUUCCCUCAGCCUGGUUGGCAAUCAGGUGUCGAGUGCAAGUGCACAAGGGAGCUUGACUGUGAGAGUGGCAGCUCGAGCAGGGACGAAAGUCGGGACUAGUGAUCCGGCGGCUCGUUGUGGAACGGCCGUCGCUCAACGGAUAAAAGGUACCUCGGGGAUAACAGGCUGAUCUUGCCCAAGAGUCCAUAUCGACGGCAUGGUUUGGCACCUCGAUGUCGGCUCGUCGCAUCCUGGGGCUGGAGUAGGUCCCAAGGGUUGGGCUGUUCGCCCAUUAAAGCGGUACGCGAGCUGGGUUCACGUCGUGAGACAGUUCGGUCCUAUCCUCUGCGCGCGUGAAAUUUGAGAAGGUCUGUCCUUAGUACGAGAGGACCGGGACGGACGAACCUCUGGUAUGUCAGUUGUACCGCCAGGUGCAU